UCAAACUUGGUCAUUUAGAGGAAGUAAAAGUCGUAACAAGGUUUCCGUAGGUGAACCUGCGGAAGGAUCAUUAUCGAAUGAAUCUAGUAGUUGGUUGUCGCUGGCCCCAGGGCAUGUGCACGCCUUCUCUCCUUCAUCCACACACACCUGUGCACUUGUGAGACGGAGGAUUGAAAAAUCCUCCGCCUACUAAUCACACAAACACUUGAACCGAAUGUAAUUGAUGUAACGCAUCAUUGGAACAAAGUUUCAACAACGGAUCUCUUGGCUCUCGCAUCGAUGAAGAACGCAGC
Molecule: unclassified non-coding RNA, 293 nt
Filed under: uncultured fungus
Lineage: Eukaryota; Fungi
Description: partial contains small subunit ribosomal RNA, internal transcribed spacer 1, and 5.8S ribosomal RNA
Rfam family: Eukaryotic small subunit ribosomal RNA (bases 1-73)
Source: RNAcentral